GAUGACACAUGAGGUUGAGGGCAAUUCCUGAUAGGUGCUGAGCACCAUCUAGCUGCAAAGUCAGCACCUUCGGAACUGUCCUCAACCUUGUCUGAGAUC
Gallus gallus (chicken) is the source of this 99-nucleotide microRNA precursor. Lineage: Eukaryota; Metazoa; Chordata; Aves; Galliformes; Phasianidae. The record is from Ensembl.